Molecule: long non-coding RNA, 1057 nt
Organism: Mustela erminea (ermine)
Lineage: Eukaryota; Metazoa; Chordata; Mammalia; Carnivora; Mustelidae
Exons: 6
Source: RefSeq, a predicted model, not a curated record
UGAUGGCAGACAUGGCCUCUGGGUCCAACAACAAGAUGGAACGAGGGGCCCCUCCUCAUCCCACCCAACCUUCUGCCCUGGGCCACUAAAGGCUGUCAGGGUAACUGGCUCAUCUCCAGUUAGGAAGAAUUUCCAUGACCACUAAUGGGUAGUUAGGGACAGCAUCCCAGUUUAAAUAAAGGCUUUGAAGGGCCUGGAAAGCUGCAGAUACUUAGCGGUACUCUGUACAAGGCUGUGGAUUGGAUCGCGGCUUCAAGCAGAGUCUGGCGAAGGGGAGCUGCCACGGAGACACCACCAGAGGGGGAAUGUGAAUCUUUUACCCAUCUAUUUAGGACUCCCGAAGACAGAGACGAGCCUUCUGUUCCUAGUGAUCACCGGCCCCCAGAUGAAGCCAGCCUCAGGAUAAUAAACCAGAAUGCUGCUCUGCUCCUAUUCAAUCUCCAGCUAGCUGCUGCACGUGAAGACAACAGCGUUGGCAGAGGCAGUGAUGCCCUUGUCUUCUCCAGAGACUACAGUGGUGAUGCUGUUGUUCCUUUGUCCAUGUCUAGAAAUGACAAUCCAGCGGGGAGAUGAAGAAGUAAACAGUUUCUAGGAGGAUAUGAUCACAGGGUGCUCAGCAAGCACAUGGUGGUGUCACAUAACUCAUCUUUGGGGAACCAGGGAACUUGGGCUACAGUUUUGCAAAGGAACUCUGAAACCAACUUCUGCAAUGAAGUGAAUCUGCCCAAGGGAUAUUUUUUACCCUGAAAAAACACGAACUCCCCUAAGAACCGAAGAGCUGGUUUUUUGCAGAACUAUCUUAUUGUUAUUUGGGACUGAUGGACUGUCAGUCUUUUCUGCCAGAAACAGAAAUGCUAAUUGGGCCAUCAGUAUGUUGGGAUGGAGGACUCGCACUUCUAUGCUUGGCUUAGGCCCAGGUGGACAAUGGUUUUGCUGAAUCUUGUUUUCGUAGGUCCUUCUGGAGAUGCAGCCGGUAAGAAAUGUUGGCAAUCGAGAGAAUAUUGCUUUAACCAAGUUCAUUGUAGUACAUUUUUCACCAAAUUACAUUAGCAUAUAU